CCUACGGGUGGCAGCAGUGGGGAAUAUUGGGCAAUGGGCGCAAGCCUGACCCAGCAACGCCGCGUGAAGGAAGAAGGCUUUCGGGUUUUAAACUUCUUUUAAGAGGGAAGAGCAGAAGACGGUACCUCUUGAAUAAGCCACGGCUAACUCCGUGCCAGCAGCCGCGGUAAUCCGUAGGUGGCAAGCGUUUUCCGGAUUUACUGGGUGUAAAGGGCGUUUAGCCGGGCUGACAAGUCAGAUGUGAACUCCGGGGGCUCAACCCCCGAACUGCAUUUGAAACUGUUGGUCUUGAGUAUCGGAGAGGCAGGCGGAAUUCCUAGUGUAGCGGUGAAAUGCGUAGAUAUUAGGAGGAACACCAGUGGCGAAGGCGGCCUGCUGGACGACAACUGACGGUGAGGCGCGAAAGCGUGGGGAGCAAACAGGAUUAGAUACCCGGGUAGUC
RNAcentral lists this ribosomal RNA (442 nucleotides) under uncultured bacterium. RNAcentral describes it as "partial 16S ribosomal RNA". It matches the Rfam family "Bacterial small subunit ribosomal RNA", at positions 338 to 795 of the family's 1533-position model. The record is from RNAcentral.